Molecule: ribosomal RNA, 193 nt
Filed under: uncultured Acidovorax sp.
Lineage: Bacteria; Pseudomonadati; Pseudomonadota; Betaproteobacteria; Burkholderiales; Comamonadaceae
Description: partial 16S ribosomal RNA
Rfam family: Bacterial small subunit ribosomal RNA
Source: RNAcentral
CCUACGGGAGGCAGCAGUGGGGAAUUUUGGACAAUGGGCGAAAGCCUGAUCCAGCCAUGCCGCGUGCAGGAUGAAGGCCUUCGGGUUGUAAACUGCUUUUGUACGGAACGAAAAGCCUCUUUCUAAUAAAGAGAGGUCAUGACGGUACCGUAAGAAUAAGCACCGGCUAACUACGUGCCAGCAGCCGCGGUAA